RNAcentral lists this long non-coding RNA (765 nucleotides) under Equus asinus (donkey). RNAcentral's name for it is "lncRNA (ENSEASG00005027522.1)". Lineage: Eukaryota; Metazoa; Chordata; Mammalia; Perissodactyla; Equidae. The record is from RNAcentral.
CCAGGUGUGCACACAGACGGGUGCAAGUAGCCCAGCUGUGGCAGGUCAGGGAAGGAGCGGGAGGAGAGGCAGGCGAGGCCAAGGCAGAGGCAGGGCGCACAGGGCCCGCGGGCCCAGCAGGUAGCUGACUGACAGCUGAAGGUAGUGCACACGCCGAGGGUUUCAAACAGGAUUCUGCUCCAAUUUUACCAUUGCGUCUUCCUCCCACCUGGACCUUUCAAAGAAGAGGCACUCAAGGAGCGUUCAUUGAUGUGAACUGAAGAGGCCAAACCCACAGCGGGCUACAGACCUACGUGCUAAGAAGAAAGAUCCCCCUUUCCUUUCUCCUCCUCGCUCCCUAACCUGAGCCCCCUUCCUUCCUGCAAGCCCUGCCCUUGGCUGGGAAGUGGAAACAACCAGAACAGGCACAAAGCCACCCCAUGCAGAUGACAGACUGACCUCCCAGCUGGGUUCCUGGAUGCCCUGGACCACUUACUCCUCCGGCAGAACAGGGAAGGCCCACCCGCUCACCUCUGGACCACAGCAUAAGAGAGGAGGAGACACCCGCUUCCGUUAGACCCCGCAUCCCUGAGCCCUCCGUGCACCAGCUCCGUCUGGACCUUCUGCAGCCCACAGCCUUACUUUGGAGAUUGCAGAUACCACAUCCAAGCUACUAGACACAGUGGAUCUGUGGUUAGUGGAUACUAACAGGAUUUCUAAGACACUCGGGAGCUAGUUUCAGAGCUCCAGCUGGCCCAAACUUGGCCAGAUUCUGGGAUCAAUCUC